AUUGAACGCUGGCGGCAUGCCUUACACAUGCAAGUCGAACGGCAGCACGGGGCAACCUGGUGGCGAGUGGCGAACGGGUGAGUAAUGCAUCGGAACGUGCCAUUGAGUGGGGGAUAACGUAGCGAAAGUUGCGCUAAUACCGCAUAUUCUGUGAGCAGGAAAGCAGGGGACCGCAAGGCCUUGCGCUCUUUGAGCGGCCGAUGUCAGAUUAGCUAGUUGGUGAGGUAACGGCUUACCAAGGCGACGAUCUGUAGCGGGUCUGAGAGGAUGAUCCGCCACACUGGAACUGAGACACGGUCCAGACUCCUACGGGAGGCAGCAGUGGGGAAUUUUGGACAAUGGGCGAAAGCCUGAUCCAGCCAUGCCGCGUGAGUGAAGAAGGCC
This 384-nucleotide ribosomal RNA is filed under the name uncultured bacterium. RNAcentral describes it as "bacterial SSU rRNA". It matches the Rfam family "Bacterial small subunit ribosomal RNA", at positions 30 to 416 of the family's 1533-position model. The record is from RNAcentral.